This 76-nucleotide transfer RNA is filed under the name Vibrio parahaemolyticus. RNAcentral's name for it is "tRNA-Val". The stretch from base 6 to 67 matches the Rfam family "tRNA", at positions 6 to 65 of the family's 71-position model. From Rfam's summary of the family: Transfer RNA (tRNA) molecules are approximately 80 nucleotides in length. Their secondary structure includes four short double-helical elements and three loops (D, anti-codon, and T loops). Further hydrogen bonds mediate the characteristic L-shaped molecular structure. tRNAs have two regions of fundamental functional importance: the anti-codon, which is responsible for specific mRNA codon recognition, and the 3' end, to which the tRNAs corresponding amino acid is attached (by aminoacyl-tRNA synthetases). tRNAs cope with the degeneracy of the genetic code in two manners: having more than one tRNA (with a specific anti-codon) for a particular amino acid; and 'wobble' base-pairing, i.e. permitting non-standard base-pairing at the 3rd anti-codon position. Lineage: Bacteria; Pseudomonadati; Pseudomonadota; Gammaproteobacteria; Vibrionales; Vibrionaceae. The record is from RNAcentral.
GGGCGAUUAGCUCAGUUGGGAGAGCACCUGCCUUACAAGCAGGGGGUCACUGGUUCGAGCCCGGUAUGGGAUACCA